Megalobrama amblycephala (Wuchang bream) is the source of this 168-nucleotide long non-coding RNA. RefSeq lists it as uncharacterized. The transcript has 2 exons. NCBI's taxonomy places the organism in Eukaryota, Metazoa, Chordata, Actinopteri, Cypriniformes, Xenocyprididae. The record is from RefSeq and is a predicted model, not a curated record.
AAUCCCAUCAGCAACCAGACUCAACAUCUGGACAUCACUCACCUCUGUCACACAUGUUCAGGAAGUAUUGAAAUCUAAAGCAGAACGCUGAACUUUAAAGAUUCUUCAAGUGUGUUUUUUGUUCUAGUGUUUUUAUCAUAAUAAAUACCGAUGAUUAUUUUGACCUUC